AUGAACGCUAGCGACAGGCUUAACACAUGCAAGUCGAGGGGCAGCGGGGGCGUAGCAAUAUGCCUGCCGGCGACCGGCGCACGGGUGAGUAACACGUAUGUAACCUGCCCUAUGCAGGGGGAUAACCCGGAGAAAUCCGGCCUAAUACCGCGUAACACCUUUGGGGAGCAUUCCCUUGGGGUUAAAGGAGAGAUCCGGCAUAGGAUGGACAUGCGUCGCAUUAGGUAGACGGCGGGGUAACGGCCCACCGUGCCGACGAUGCGUAGGGGUUCUGAGAGGAAGGCCCCCCACACUGGUACUGAGACACGGACCAGACUCCUACGGGAGGCAGCAGUGAGGAAUAUUGGUCAAUGGCCGAGAGGCUGAACCAGCCAAGUCGCGUGAGGGAAGAAUGUCCUAAGGAUUGUAAACCUCUUUUGUCGGGGAGCAAAAAGGCUCUGCGGAGUCGUAUUGAGAGUACCCGAAGAAAAAGCAUCGGCUAACUCCGUGCCAGCAGCCGCGGUAAUACGGAGGAUGCGAGCGUUAUCCGGAUUUAUUGGGUUUAAAGGGUGCGCAGGCGGCGUGUCAAGCAAGCGGUAAAAUAGCGGGGCUCAACCCCGUCGAGCCGUUUGAACUGGCGCGCUUGAGUUCAGGCGAGGUAGGCGGAAUUCGUGGUGUAGCGGUGAAAUGCAUAGAUAUCACGAAGAACUCCGAUUGCGAAGGCAGCUUACCAGUCUGCGACUGACGCUCAGGCACGAAAGUGUGGGUAUCGAACAGGAUUAGAUACCCUGGUAGUCCACACAGUAAACGA
RNAcentral lists this ribosomal RNA (790 nucleotides) under uncultured bacterium. RNAcentral's name for it is "bacterial SSU rRNA". It matches the Rfam family "Bacterial small subunit ribosomal RNA", at positions 29 to 809 of the family's 1533-position model. The record is from RNAcentral.